GAUGAACGCUGGCGGCGUGCCUAAUACAUGCAAGUCGAGCGAACAGACGAGGAGCUUGCUCCUCUGACGUUAGCGGCGGACGGGUGAGUAACACGUGGAUAACCUACCUAUAAGACUGGGAUAACUUCGGGAAACCGGAGCUAAUACCGGAUAAUAUAUUGAACCGCAUGGUUCAAUAGUGAAAGACGGUUUUGCUGUCACUUAUAGAUGGAUCCGCGCCGCAUUAGCUAGUUGGUAAGGUAACGGCUUACCAAGGCAACGAUGCGUAGCCGACCUGAGAGGGUGAUCGGCCACACUGGAACUGAGACACCGUCCAGACUCCUACGGGAGGCAGCAGUAGGGAAUCUGCCGCAAUGGGCGAAAGCCUGACGGAGCAACGCCGCGUGAGUGAUGAAGGUCUUCGGAUCGUAAAACUCUGUUAUGAGGGAAGAACAAAUGUGUAAGUAACUAUGCACGUCUUGACGGUACCUAAUCAGAAAGCCACGGCUAACUACGUG
RNAcentral lists this ribosomal RNA (497 nucleotides) under uncultured bacterium. RNAcentral's name for it is "partial 16S ribosomal RNA". It matches the Rfam family "Bacterial small subunit ribosomal RNA", at positions 28 to 507 of the family's 1533-position model. The record is from RNAcentral.